RNAcentral lists this long non-coding RNA (665 nucleotides) under Sinocyclocheilus grahami. RNAcentral's name for it is "lncRNA (ENSSGRG00000015426.1)". Lineage: Eukaryota; Metazoa; Chordata; Actinopteri; Cypriniformes; Cyprinidae. The record is from RNAcentral.
AACAAUCUUUUGAUUUUCAUGUAGUCAACAUCAACUUAACAUGUACUAUAUCUUCUAGGUGACCUGGGAGUUGGAUGUGCUGCUGUCCUGUUCCUUGUCAGUGACUUGGUCUAUCUCCCCCCCCCGAUAGACCAUGUCACUGACAACUUCAGCAUUAAUCUAGCUCUGAAGUAUUUUGGAGGUGGGGCACAACCAACGCCACCAACCCCAAGUGCCAGUGCUACAGCUGAUGUUCCAGCAGGUGAGGAGCACUUACCAGCACCUGAAUGCACUGAUCCUGCUGUUCCUUCCAUGUCUAAUUGAACCUCAGUGGAUGUGGCAGGUAAGUUAAUAUCACAACCAUUUGUAUUUGCUGUAGAAUAUCACAUUUCUAAUUCAUGUAAUUUUCAUUUGCAUGUCAGAAUUCUUUGUACUUAUUUGUGAGAGAUGGAAACUAGAGUCUGCGACUUGGACUCUAGUUGCACUUAAGUUGCAAAGAUAAAGACUUGUGACUUGACUUGGACUCGUGAACAGCUGACUUGAGACUUGACUGACUCAUGAUUUGUGAGACUCGAAAAAACGUAAGUCAAUCAUAUGACAUUCCCUGUUUACUACACCACAUGGCAGCAUCAUACACACAAAUACAAAUAUUUUAAAAAAAUGCAAAGUUACGGAUGACACACAGC